This 484-nucleotide ribosomal RNA is filed under the name uncultured bacterium. Its description in RNAcentral is "partial 16S ribosomal RNA". It matches the Rfam family "Bacterial small subunit ribosomal RNA", at positions 30 to 507 of the family's 1533-position model. The record is from RNAcentral.
AUUGAACGCUGGCGGCAGGCCUAACACAUGCAAGUCGAGCGGAUGAAGGGAGCUUGCUCCUGGAUUCAGCGGCGGACGGGUGAGUAAUGCCUAGGAAUCUGCCUGGUAGCGGGGGAUAACGUCCGGAAACGGGCGCUAAUACCGCAUACGUCCUGAGGGAGAAAGUGGGGGAUCUUCGGACCUCACGCUAUCAGAUGAGCCUAGGUCGGAUUGGCUAGUUGGUGGGGUAAAGGCCUACCAAGGCGACGAUCCGUAACUGGUCUGAGAGGAUGAUCAGUCACACUGGAACUGAGACACGGUCCAGACUCCUACGGGAGGCAGCAGUGGGGAAUAUUGGACAAUGGGCGAAGGCCUGAUCCAGCCAUGCCGCGUGUGUGAAGAAGGUCUUCGGAUUGUAAAGCACUUUAAGUUGGGAGGAAGGGCAGUAAGUUAAUACCUUGCUGUUUUGACGUUACCAACAGAAUAAGCACCGGCUAACUUCGUG